GCGACACUAGCUCAGUUGGUAGAGCGCAACCUUGCCAAGGUUGGGGUCACGAGUUCGAACCUCGUGUGUCGCUCCA
Molecule: transfer RNA, 76 nt
Filed under: Vibrio parahaemolyticus
Lineage: Bacteria; Pseudomonadati; Pseudomonadota; Gammaproteobacteria; Vibrionales; Vibrionaceae
Description: tRNA-Gly
Rfam family: tRNA
About the family: Transfer RNA (tRNA) molecules are approximately 80 nucleotides in length.
Source: RNAcentral